Molecule: long non-coding RNA, 328 nt
Filed under: Heterocephalus glaber (naked mole-rat)
Lineage: Eukaryota; Metazoa; Chordata; Mammalia; Rodentia; Bathyergidae
Description: lncRNA (ENSHGLG00100048789.1)
Source: RNAcentral
GAUAAGGACAAAUCCUACAGGCAUCUGGUAUCUCUCAGCAUGUCUUGGCAGGAGCAUCACAUCUUUGAGACCCAGAGAAAUAGGAAGAAACUUUUUCUGUGUUGUCACUGGGGAGCACUCAGACUUUUCUCCUUUUGUCCAUGGACGCUGUAUUCUCAACCCCACUUCCUGUCAACUCCAUUCAGUUUGUGCAAGUUCUAAGCUAGCAUGAAACAGUUACUGAAAGGAUAAAAGAAGGGCUGUUCAGAAGACUGGGAGUUUAGAGAUGAAGAGGAUAACCUCUGGUACUCUGGGUUUGAAUACUGGUUUUGUCUCAGAACAAUGUAAG